Molecule: long non-coding RNA, 1769 nt
Organism: Anas platyrhynchos (mallard)
Lineage: Eukaryota; Metazoa; Chordata; Aves; Anseriformes; Anatidae
Source: RefSeq, a predicted model, not a curated record
GAAAGACACCUUGACCACCUACAGCCAACACAAAUACACCAUAUGAUGUUUGUGACCAGGGGUGAUAAAAAAUAAAUAGUUUAUAGCAGGAGUGAAAUCUCUGGUAUAAAAAUCUUGCCAAAAUAGUGUUCUCCCUUUUCUUUUUACAUACUGCAAAUACUCCAGUUCUAAGGGGGAUGGGACUCUUCCUAAUGGCAUUCAGUGGCUUUUAGAUCUAGACCCCAGGUACCAAAACAUAUCAUCAGAUUCUAGUCUUCCCUAAAUAGACUGUCCUAGGGUAUAGCUGAAGGCAGAAUUCAGAGUUAAAUCAGUGUUGUACAGGGACAGAACUGGUCAGAAAGCAGUGAAUUGAGCUUUUGGGGGGUUAUUUGCUAUACUAAAGGUAUGAAACAGGGCAGGGGAGACAAAUUUUUGGAAUCCAAUUAGAAUAUUGGAGCUGUGAAUAACUGAAAUGCUCAUUCUUUGUCAGUGUUUGCAGGAUGCUGCAGCUUUGCAUAUUUGGUGAAAUUAGAUAAAUUUUUAUCUGCAGAAUAAGAAAAAAGUACUACUAAAGUAAAGUACUUACUUUGGCUGGCCAAGAGCUUUUCCAAAGACUGGGACCACUGCAUUACUUCCUCUGCAGAAAGCCUAAAUUGACAGGAGAAGGAAAAGGCUUUAGUGCAGAUCUGAGAGCCCAGACUGAGGAAAAAUAAUUGGAAAAAUGGAAAAACAGGCAACUGUGCAGUCACUCUGAAUUCUGUUCCCUGAAAGAUGAGCUGCUACCGUGACUAUGACCAAAUCCUUUUGAAUCCAUGUUACUGUUUCCAUAUAUCUGAAAUGAGACUUGUAAUACCUUGGCUAUUCCCUUGAGCAUGAAGCAUUUUUUCUUGUAAACCUUUACAGAUUGGAUAUGAUAUGCCUCUGAAGAAGAUAGAUUUAAGAGAGGCUUCUUCUUCCCCAUCAUUUGAUGCAAAUAUAAUCAUCACUAACAAUGAAUUUAGGAAGCAGAAAUUAUUAAUGAAUUUAUAAUAUUAGUCCCUUUUGAAAAUUUCAGGCACUAUUUUGUUGUGUUAGAAAUAAUUUAUUGGUCUAAGAGUAGUUUAGAAGCCAGUAAAAAGUAGUUGGAAUAUAUAGCAAUCUAACCAUAGAUUUGCUUUUUGUACUUACACGACAUUUCUGGAGUUGGAAGCCUUAAUCCCAGAUUCAAGAUGCGGGACCAUGCACUUCAAAUAAUUCUUGAGAUCCGCACCACUGAAACCAAUGAACAGACAUUCUGUAAUCCUUUACAAUCGCAGUUGCAUUUCAAUUCUACAUAAAUUCCUUAAAGCUUAAAUAGAGGCAAACAGCUCAAUCCUAGGACUGAAGCCUGUGAAGUUGCAUAUCCAUGUAAUUCUUCUCAAAAGACUGACUGCCACUGUAUCCAAAAAUCUCAUCCUGCUUGCCUAAAUUAAUCAAUUCGUUGGUUUCUAUUAGCUCAAGCCACUUACAGUGAUGCUAUAUUCCUGGGCUUUGAGCAGGAGUUAGUUAGCAGUCAGUUAGCCUGAAAAAGGCGCUAAUUCUUAAUCUUCAAGAUCUAGUGUUAUUUUCAUUUCUAACACAUUAGAGUUUAGACUGAGACAUGUAUACUUACAAAGCCUUUUGCUUCUUUUUAUGGAUUUUGCCUUCUGCAAGCUUGCAGUCGUCUUUUCCAUUUAUUUCAGUCAUGUUGUGGUGGGAGAAAAAUAAUCCUGGCAUUUUACUUAGCCUUGAUGCGAAGCGCCUUGCGCAGCGAUAAUCCUCCAAGCACCAAA